Molecule: unclassified non-coding RNA, 305 nt
Filed under: plant metagenome
Description: partial contains 5.8S ribosomal RNA, internal transcribed spacer 2, and large subunit ribosomal RNA
Rfam family: 5.8S ribosomal RNA (bases 1-105)
Source: RNAcentral
GAAAUGCGAUAAGUAAUGUGAAUUGCAGAAUUCAGUGAAUCAUCGAAUCUUUGAACGCACAUUGCGCCCGCCAGUAUUCUGGCGGGCAUGCCUGUUCGAGCGUCAUUUCAACCAUCAAGCCCCCGGCUUGUGUUGGGGACCUGCGGCUGCCCGCAGGCCCUGAAAAACAGUGGCGGGCUCGCUGUCACACCGAGCGUAGUAGCAUACAUUCUCGCUCAGGGCGUGCUCCGGGUUCCGGCCGUUAAACGACCUUCAUAACCCAAGGUUGACCUCGGAUCAGGUAGGAAGACCCGCUGAACUUAAGC